UAGGGAAUCUUCGGCAAUGGACGGAAGUCUGACCGAGCAACGCCGCGUGAGUGAAGAAGGUUUUCGGAUCGUAAAGCCCUGUUGUAAGAGAAGAACGAGUGUGAGAGUGGAAAGUUCACACUGUGACGGUAUCUUACCAGAAAGGGACGGCUAACUACGUGCCAGCAGCCGCGGUAAUACGUAGGUCCCGAGCGUUGUCCGGAUUUAUUGGGCGUAAAGCGAGCGCAGGCGGUUAGAUAAGUCUGAAGUUAAAGGCUGUGGCUUAACCAUAGUACGCUUUGGAAACUGUUUAACUUGAGUGCAAGAGGGGAGAGUGGAAUUCCAUGUGUAGCGGUGAAAUGCGUAGAUAUAUGGAGGAACACCGGUGGCGAAAGCGGCUCUCUGGCUUGUAACUGACGCUGAGGCUUGAAAGCGUGGGGAGCAAACAGGAUUAGAUACCCUGGUAGUCCACGCCGUAAACGAUGAGUGCUAGGUGUUAGACCCUUUCCGGGGUUUAGUGCCGCAGCUAACGCAUUAAGCACUCCGCCUGGGGAGUACGACCGCAAGGUUG
Molecule: ribosomal RNA, 550 nt
Filed under: uncultured bacterium
Lineage: Bacteria
Description: bacterial SSU rRNA
Rfam family: Bacterial small subunit ribosomal RNA
Source: RNAcentral